This 326-nucleotide ribosomal RNA is filed under the name Diderma microcarpum. RNAcentral describes it as "bacterial SSU rRNA". It matches the Rfam family "Eukaryotic small subunit ribosomal RNA", at positions 80 to 350 of the family's 1831-position model. The record is from RNAcentral. Lineage: Eukaryota; Evosea; Eumycetozoa; Physariida; Didymiaceae.
UCUGAAUCUGCGAACGGCUCCGCAAACCAGUUGUAAACCAAAGCAAGCAUACUCGUGGUCUGCCCUUCACGGGGUGGGCUGCGGGUGAUACGGAUAACCCUGGUAAUUCUGAGGCUAAUACGAGACUGUACUCCCUGGCUAACCGGGCAACUGGUAGGCUGGGGGGCGUGUGAUCUAUUUGCAAGACGAUUCCAGGAAGGGGUGCACGCUCUGACCGCGAUAAAGACAGUUCUGGUGGACCCUCACGGGCGAGCCAGUUCUGAGCGGCUCUUGCGAUGUGCUUCUGACCUAUCAACUAGAUGGCAGCGUAACGGACAUGCCAUGGU